UACUCCCUGAAUGGGUGGAGACUUCUAAAG
RNAcentral lists this non-coding RNA (30 nucleotides) under Rattus norvegicus (Norway rat). The record is from RNAcentral. Lineage: Eukaryota; Metazoa; Chordata; Mammalia; Rodentia; Muridae.